Molecule: long non-coding RNA, 330 nt
Filed under: Linum usitatissimum (flax)
Lineage: Eukaryota; Viridiplantae; Streptophyta; Magnoliopsida; Malpighiales; Linaceae
Description: long non-coding RNA (LUSI_LNC006395)
Source: RNAcentral
CUUCUUUGUGGACUUUGGGGAUGAGCCUGGUGGUCCGUCGUUGGCUCAUGAGAUGAGAUAUCCAGGUGGUGACUGCACCUCAGACAUAUGGAUCUAAGUAUCUAACUCUCUCAAGCUUUGGUUCCAGAGGGUGGUUUUGGUUUCCUUUGCUUGGAAAUCAAUUGUGGGAAAGAGGGGAGACCUAAGAACAGAUAUAGAGAUGGAGCUCGUAGACCAGUAAUAAAUUAAGUGGGGAUUUAUGUACUGUGUUUUUGUGAAGUGUGAUAUGAUGAACCUAAUAUAAACUUUCCCAUUAUUUAAAGCUUUCAGUAUCUUCUUCCUCAAUUUUCC